RNAcentral lists this ribosomal RNA (718 nucleotides) under Bacillus sp. (in: firmicutes). RNAcentral's name for it is "bacterial SSU rRNA". It matches the Rfam family "Bacterial small subunit ribosomal RNA", at positions 88 to 792 of the family's 1533-position model. Lineage: Bacteria; Bacillati; Bacillota; Bacilli; Caryophanales; Bacillaceae. The record is from RNAcentral.
GAUGUUAGCGGCGGACGGGUGAGUAACACGUGGGUAACCUGCCUGUAAGACUGGGAUAACUCCGGGAAACCGGAGCUAAUACCGGAUAGUUCCUUGAACCGCAUGGUUCAAGGAUGAAAGACGGUUUCGGCUGUCACUUACAGAUGGACCCGCGGCGCAUUAGCUAGUUGGUGAGGUAACGGCUCACCAAGGCGACGAUGCGUAGCCGACCUGAGAGGGUGAUCGGCCACACUGGGACUGAGACACGGCCCAGACUCCUACGGGAGGCAGCAGUAGGGAAUCUUCCGCAAUGGACGAAAGUCUGACGGAGCAACGCCGCGUGAGUGAUGAAGGUUUUCGGAUCGUAAAGCUCUGUUGUUAGGGAAGAACAAGUGCAAGAGUAACUGCUUGCACCUUGACGGUACCUAACCAGAAAGCCACGGCUAACUACGUGCCAGCAGCCGCGGUAAUACGUAGGUGGCAAGCGUUGUCCGGAAUUAUUGGGCGUAAAGGGCUCGCAGGCGGUUUCUUAAGUCUGAUGUGAAAGCCCCCGGCUCAACCGGGGAGGGUCAUUGGAAACUGGGAAACUUGAGUGCAGAAGAGGAGAGUGGAAUUCCACGUGUAGCGGUGAAAUGCGUAGAGAUGUGGAGGAACACCAGUGGCGAAGGCGACUCUCUGGUCUGUAACUGACGCUGAGGAGCGAAAGCGUGGGGAGCGAACAGGAUUAGAUACCCUGGUA